GACGAACGCUGGCGGCGUGCCUAAUACAUGCAAGUAGAACGCUGAAGAGAGGAGCUUGCUCUUCUUGGAUGAGUUGCGAACGGGUGAGUAACGCGUAGGUAACCUGCCUUGUAGCGGGGGAUAACUAUUGGAAACGAUAGCUAAUACCGCAUAACAAUGGAUGACACAUGUCAUUUAUUUGAAAGGGGCAAUUGCUCCACUACAAGAUGGACCUGCGUUGUAUUAGCUAGUAGGUGAGGUAAUGGCUCACCUAGGCGACGAUACAUAGCCGACCUGAGAGGGUGGGCGGCCACACUGGGACUGAGACACGGCCCAGACUCCUACGGGAGGCAGCAGUAGGGCAUCUUCGGCCAUGGGGGCAAACCUGACCGAGCAACGCCGAGGGAGUGAAGAAGGUUUUCGGAUCGUAAAGCUCUGUUGUAAGUCAAGAACGGGUGUGAGAGUGGAAAGUUCACACUGUGACGGUAGCUUACCAGAAAGGGACGGCUAACUACGUG
This 497-nucleotide ribosomal RNA is filed under the name uncultured bacterium. RNAcentral's name for it is "partial 16S ribosomal RNA". It matches the Rfam family "Bacterial small subunit ribosomal RNA", at positions 28 to 507 of the family's 1533-position model. The record is from RNAcentral.